AAAAAAUAACGAUACGGGACUCAUCCGAGGCCCCGUAAUCGGAAUGAGAACAUCCUAAAUCCUUUAACGAGGAUCUAUUGGAGGGCAAGUCUGGUGCCAGCAGCCGCGGUAAUUCCAGCUCCAAUAGCGUAUAUUAAAGUUGUUGCGGUUAAAAAGCUCGUAGUUGGUUCUGCGUGCCACGCUGUCGGUUCACCGCCUGUCGGUGCAACUGGCAUGCCGUGGCAUGUCCUGUCGGUGGCGGAUAGGCUUCGCAACGCUCCCUGCACAACUAUUGUGUAGGUCGUCGUGUCGUCCUUGUACGCCGGCUCAAUCCUGCCGCGGUGCUCUUUACCGAGUGUCGAGGUAGGCCGACACAUUUUACUUUGAACAAAUUAGAGUGCUUAAAGCAGGCUCUUAAAUCAGCCUGAAUAGUGGUGCAUGGAAUAAUGGAACAGGACCUUGGUUCUAUUUUGUUGGUUUUAGGAAUCCAAGGUAAUGAUCAAUAAGGACAGGCGGGGGCAUUCGUAUUGCGACGUUAGAGGUGAAAUUCUUGGAUCGUCGCAAGACGCACUAGAGCGAA
RNAcentral lists this ribosomal RNA (559 nucleotides) under Pyrrhocoris sibiricus. Its description in RNAcentral is "SSU rRNA". It matches the Rfam family "Eukaryotic small subunit ribosomal RNA", at positions 472 to 949 of the family's 1831-position model. The record is from RNAcentral. Lineage: Eukaryota; Metazoa; Arthropoda; Insecta; Hemiptera; Pyrrhocoridae.